CAUCAAUAAAUCUGAUAUAUAGGUUCGAAUGCAAUGAUUCAAUUAUAACUAAAUGUACAUUGGUAAAAAUACUAAUGAUAAAUGAAAUGAAAGGUAUUAAAAUGUUACCUGAAAAAAAUUCAGUAACCACAAGUAUAAACAAAACUCAAGGAAACUGUAACUGCUAUUAACUGUUAAUUAAUUGAUCACAUCCAUGUGAACAUAGCUUUAUUAUAAAGCACAUAAAAUAUGGACAUACUUUACGAUACAAUAAUGAAUUAAUUAAACCAACUUAAAUUUUCAUUCUUUUUACGCCAAAGUUUAGUGUCUACAUUCAUUUACAUAGAAAGAUAUUUCGUAAAAAAAGAGCUAAAUGCAUUUCUGAUUCCAACUUUUUUUAUUUAAAUUAAAAAACGAUUUAUCCACAUUAUGACAAAUGAUGAUAUUUAAUAGCUCUUAGUUAGAUGUGUUCACUGAAUUGCCUCUUAUUGCAAAACAAUUAUCAUAAAGGAACAUUUCAUACAGAUAUAAGGAAAAUGAUUUGAUAAUAGAUUGUUAUCGAGUGAGAUAAUGACUGCUAAAAAUACAAUGAUAACUUUUACAAUCUGGGCUGGUUCAUAUCGAAGUACAACAACACAUCAGAUAUACUUUAUUAAAUGAAGGAGUAUGUUUGGUAAGGCCAUAUUUGGUUCCAAAUAUUAGCUCAUUUUUGCAAGAUUAAAGUGUUUCAAGUUGAUGAACAGACAUGUAAGAAAGUGAAAUAUACUAUUUUUGUCAAGUAUUUUUAAAUUAAGCAUUGACCAAGUAUAGGAAUGAGGAGGUUUUUUAUGAGAUUUGACCAACUUGCUGGAUUUCAAAUACAUUUCAGGCCAGGACUACUAAAACCAGCAAUCUAUCCAGGCCUCUACAUUAACAUUUUUUCUAACUUGUCCCUUCGGACAAGUGGCAAGAAAAUCAGCUUGUCCGAACUCUUAACUCACUUGUCCGAAUUCAUAAUUGAAAAUCUAACAUAUUGAUGAUUUAUGCAAUAAUAACACUUGGGCUUUGAUUGUACCUAAUAAAAGGAGCAUUUUGUAAUGUUAUAUGAAUACCGCAUCAAAAUACAUUUCAUUAUUUCAGAAUGAAAGUUUUUUUGCAAGACUGUGUUCUCUGACUCAAUGUC
Molecule: long non-coding RNA, 1141 nt
Filed under: Mytilus galloprovincialis (Mediterranean mussel)
Lineage: Eukaryota; Metazoa; Mollusca; Bivalvia; Mytilida; Mytilidae
Source: RNAcentral